UGUAAGCGUAUACCAAAGUUGUUGCAGUUAAAACGCUCGUAGUCGGAAUUUGGCAGUUCCGGAUGUGUGCACGUCGUGUGCGCACUUCGCGGGGAUUGCUUUUGUGGUCUUGCGUAGGAUGAGGCACUUUUAUUAGUGAACGUCCUCACGCAACCACUUUUUACUGUGAGAAAAUCAGAGUGCUCAAAGCAGGCAUUUGCCGUGAAUGUAUUAGCAUGGAAUAAUAGAAUAGGACUUGGUUCUAUUUUGUUGGUUUGUUGGGACUGAGUAAUGAUUAAGAGGGACAGUUGGGGGCAUUUGUAUUUCGGUGCUAGAGGUGAAAUUCUUAGAUUACCGAAAGACAAACGGCUGCGAAAGCGUCUGCCAAGGAUGUUUUCAUUGA
RNAcentral lists this ribosomal RNA (382 nucleotides) under uncultured eukaryote. RNAcentral describes it as "partial 18S ribosomal RNA". It matches the Rfam family "Eukaryotic small subunit ribosomal RNA", at positions 592 to 976 of the family's 1831-position model. The record is from RNAcentral.